GCUGUUUCAGUCUUGAACGUGUUGUUCCCCCAGCACAGAGGUCACUCGGAAACACACGUAGUCCCCCAGUGCUCAGCCAAAUGAGACAGGGGACAGCUGACGCCACCCCAGGGACACUGCCGGCAGGGUUUAGAGACGGAGAGGAGCAAGAGGUGCAAGGACGGCUUUCGGGGUCACAGGGCCUCUGCCCAGGCCCCGGCGUAGGCCGAGCACUGCGGCUCAGGGCACCACCCCGAUAGGAGAUUCCUGGCACAGGCCCAGCCUCCAUCACCAGACUGGACUGGACUCCAGGGUUCUCUCUGAGACACUUUCCCUGCUCUGUCAAUGCAGGCACCAGAGAUCUUUUAAAGACAUAGUCUUACCGCACGGCCCAUUCUUAAAACACACUGGGGCUUCUGACACUGAAAAUCAAAUGCAGGUUCUUUACCAAGCCCUGAAAACACCCGCAUUCCCGCGAGACCUCUCCACCCUGCCUGCCAGCUUGUGGGCCGCCGCCUGGAUCUUGGUCCUCAGCUCAUCCUUAGAUCCUUGAGACAGACCAGCCUUUUCUGCUACCUGGGAGCUGUGUCCUCUCCUAGUGGCACGCUCAGCCCCCCGUUCUCAGCAGGGCAGGCUGCUCUAUCCUUCCUGUGUUUCCACUUCGGUGUCGCCUCCUCAGAGCAGCCUCCUGAGACCAUGGCCUCAAAACUUCCUCCCUGAUGCUCCCAUGGCCACACAGCGGUCUCCGGCCAGGCUCCCCACUGCAGGCUUUGCGUGGACGCCCCUGCUCAGCGUCCUGUGGGGCUGACUCUGUUUACUCCUCUGCCUAGACACACACACAGCCGUCCAGCGCUGGCUUCUGUAGUCCGUGAUAUU
This 855-nucleotide long non-coding RNA is filed under the name Chinchilla lanigera (long-tailed chinchilla). RNAcentral describes it as "lncRNA (ENSCLAG00000028696.1)". Lineage: Eukaryota; Metazoa; Chordata; Mammalia; Rodentia; Chinchillidae. The record is from RNAcentral.